This 429-nucleotide ribosomal RNA is filed under the name Acidobacteriota bacterium. RNAcentral's name for it is "Acidobacteria bacterium partial 16S ribosomal RNA". It matches the Rfam family "Bacterial small subunit ribosomal RNA", at positions 355 to 776 of the family's 1533-position model. Lineage: Bacteria; Pseudomonadati; Acidobacteriota. The record is from RNAcentral.
UGGGGAAUUUUGGACAAUGGGGGAAACCCUGAUCCAGCCAUCCCGCGUGUGCGAUGAAGGCCUUCGGGUUGUAAAGCACUUUUUGCAGGAAAGAAACGUCAUGGGUUAAUACCCCGUGAAACUGACGGUACCUGCAGAAUAAGCACCGGCUAACUACGUGCCAGCAGCCGCGGUAAUACGUAGGGUGCAAGCGUUAAUCGGAAUUACUGGGCGUAAAGCGUGCGCAGGCGGUUCGGAAAGAAAGAUGUGAAAUCCCAGGGCUCAACUUUGGAACUGCAUUUUUAACUACCGGGCUAGAGUGUGUCAGAGGGAGGUGGAAGUCCGCGUGUAGCAGUGAAAUGCGUAGAUAUGCGGAGGAACACCGAUGGCGAAGGCAGCCUCCUGGGAUAACCCUGACGCUCAUGCACGAAAGCGUGGGGAGCAAACAGG